This 534-nucleotide ribosomal RNA is filed under the name uncultured bacterium. RNAcentral's name for it is "bacterial SSU rRNA". It matches the Rfam family "Bacterial small subunit ribosomal RNA", at positions 777 to 1315 of the family's 1533-position model. The record is from RNAcentral.
AAUAGAUACCCAGGUAGUCCACGCCCUAAACGAUGUCAACUAGCUGUUGGGGCCUUCGGGCCUUGGUAGCGCAGCUAACGCGUGAAGUUGACCGCCUGGGGAGUACGGUCGCAAGAUUAAAACUCAAAGGAAUUGACGGGGACCCGCACAAGCGGUGGAUGAUGUGGAUUAAUUCGAUGCAACGCGAAAAACCUUACCUACCCUUGACAUGUCUGGAAUGCCGAAGAGAUUUGGCAGUGCUCGCAAGAGAACCGGAACACAGGUGCUGCAUGGCUGUCGUCAGCUCGUGUCGUGAGAUGUUGGGUUAAGUCCCGCAACGAGCGCAACCCUUGUCAUUAGUUGCUACGAAAGGGCACUCUAAUGAGACUGCCGGUGACAAACCGGAGGAAGGUGGGGAUGACGUCAAGUCCUCAUGGCCCUUAUGGGUAGGGCUUCACACGUCAUACAAUGGUCGGGACAGAGGGUCGCCAACCCGGCGAGGGGGAGCCAAUCCCAGAAACCCGAUCGUAGUCCGGAUCGCAGUCUGCAACUCGA